Molecule: long non-coding RNA, 1255 nt
Organism: Pongo pygmaeus (Bornean orangutan)
Lineage: Eukaryota; Metazoa; Chordata; Mammalia; Primates; Hominidae
Exons: 5
Source: RefSeq, a predicted model, not a curated record
CCCAGAUCAGCAAAACAACCUAGAAAACCAACAGACUUUGGGCAAAAAUAAAUGUUUAUCCUGUAAGCCAUCGCUCUUUUCUAUGCAGCACUUUUGUGGCAAUAGACAACUGAUGCAGGUCACACCUGGUAAAGCAUUCAGUGAGGUCCUCCCCCAUACCAAGUCUGUGACUCCAGUCUUCACCAUCAUCAGCCCUGCGUUGGCAUGCAGAGGAAAAUCAUUCUGGUUGUUUGAAUCCAGAUGCAGAUCCAGGGACUGGGAGGGCUGACAGAGGGCUGACUGUGUUUCUGCUCGGGCAGAUGUCAAGUGAGCCCUAAAGGAACUUCCCACUGGCCAAGAUUGUAGGAACUUACAACGCAAGUGGAAUCAUCCUGCCAUGAUACAGUCUGAUGGGCAGAAAGGCACCGUGUGAUGAAAAGAGUGAUCAGGAGACAUCAGUGAAAAAGAGAGAUGGCAUCUUACUAUGUUGCCCAAGCUAGUCUCGAACUCCUGGCCUCAAGCAAUUCCCUUGCCUUGGAAUCCCAUAACACUGGAAUUACAGGCAUGAGCCACCACACUCAGCCUGACAUACUCAUUUUUAAGCAAAGGACUUCUAAGUCAUGGCUCGUUAAUCUAACACCGACGAUAGUGUCUCAGGCAGAAGCCACAGCCCAGAAGACUUCCCAACAUGGGAAGGCUUAGGAGACCAGCUGGCAUCAGGCACAUUCCACAGAAAUACUGAGAAACUUAUGAAGAACAAACAGACACGGCAGGAGCAAGAGGAAGAUACCUGGCCUGAGUAGCACUAAAUAUGUCCCAGUUAAACAGAACUACUAUCCCAAUUAAGCAAUAGUCAUGACCAUUAAUAAACACAAAAGGGUGUGUUGCACAAUGGCCUGAUUCAGUGCCGUUACUGAUUUAGUGCACUGUAAUGAUUGUUAAUAAUCCUCAGCUACUGCAUGCUUCUCUGAGUGCUCUGGGAAUUCAUAUUUGCCUGGAUCCUUGAAUGAAGAUGAUACUGGAAGUGAAACUCAAAGAGAAUCAUUUGGGUGGCCAAAAUAGGUCUGAUGAACUGCUGAUACAGAUGCCUGAGCAUUUCAUGGAAUUCUGGGCCAUUUCCUCUCCCUGGUCAUCUCAUGUCUUGUGAUCUAACCAGCUCUUAGGGGUUCUUUGGUCAAGCACUCUGGCCCUGCUUCCUCCUUUCACUUGGCUGGCAACUCUCACAUAGACUUCAAUGGCGAAAGCUGUCAACAGUUCAUAAAAGGAUCAAACACCU